CAGCGCUCGAGUGAAGAGUGACAGCGCCGCAAGAGCGGGAGGGAGCGCCGAACCCCGCGAACCUACGAAACAGGUGCAUGCGCCGAUCUCCUGGCCAGUGGACCCAGCUCGCAAGGUACGUCUGGACUCAUCCAGCCAUGUGCCUUUCUCUGAGGCUCAGAAAAGACCCGUUUCCUUGAGGGUGAGGAUAGGGACUGUUCUGGGAUCCUACUCCGCUCCCGGUCAUUGAAAAGCGGCCAGGUGGUGGUCCCGAAUUACCUGGCUUCAUAUUUUAAAAAUCAUGGAAUUGGUUCUUGAGGAUUCCCCUGCCCAUCGAUACUAGGUUUGUGUUCGGAAGUUUUCAGCCCUCCGUGUUUUUCCUUUGACUUCGCUGCUCGUGUGUGUGGCGAGGAGAACGGGGAGCAGUAAGCCUGCGGUUAAGGCUAAAAUGCCAUCGUGCAGCAUGGACUAAUUGAAUCAACACGUAUGGAGAGCAACAAUCUUUUUAGGUCCUGCUCUGGAAAGGGUCCAUUUGGCCGGGAGCAGCCGUUCGCUGUUACUCAAUCUCCUGAAAAGUAACCAUAGUAACUCACCUCUCUUUUGAUGGGAUCCUCCUCAUUGGCUGCCUAUCUUCCUUUGGAAAGCUCAUCUCUCUAAAUAUAGAAGAUGAUGAGAUCUGUAAGCAUACAUCCAUGUAGAAAAGGUGCAGUUAAACAUGGCCCUUUAAAGAAAAACUAUCUUCAAAGAAGAAGUACCAUUUGGCUAUUUCAAAUCUUGCGAGAAAUCGUGUGUAGUACAGAGAAUGAUUGAGUUGCUGUUUUGAGUUAACUGAUGGAUUGCAACUUUAGAGAGAAUGUAUCUUGAAAUUAUACAACAUCUGGCAUUUAAAAACAAAUUAAGUACAUCUGACCCCAAUUUCAAAAGAAAAUCAACCUACCGAUAACAUCCCCCAAAUAAUCUGCCAGUAAAUAAUUGGAGAAAUUGGUUAUUCACUUUUUUCCAAAUUUCUUAGGAUAGCUAAGACUCCUUCUGUUUAAAAUUAAAUCUGGAGAACACGAAAGUAAUGGUAUGUGCUUGAAGGUUAAUCUAGUUAAUCCAUCUGGUCCAGAACAGCUCCACCUUGAACAUCUUGCAUAGUAUCCCCCUGCUGCAUGCGUUCUCCUGACUUGAUAACCAGUUCAAAUCAGCACAGUCCUGGCUCUCCCCAUGUUAUUUUGCAUCUGUCUCCGUUGUUUCACAAUCUCAGGUUGCCAUUCAUGAGCCCGAGGCUGUGAGAAAUGCUCGCUGUGCAAAGGGGAGCUCUCACCAGAUUCUCUGAAGCUGUCCUAGAAAUACACUUUUCAGAUUGAUUCAGCUUUACCAGGUAAUCACUAGCUUAAAAGAAAUUACUGUUUAAAUAUGUAUCCAAAGAAAUAAAUGCUAAUGUAGCAUUACCAUAACUCACAAGAUCAAUGUAAGGGGUUGUUUAUAUAGAUGGUUGCUGGGUAAACGUCGAUAGAGGUUUUCCGUAGAGAGGACAUUUGUGGGCUGGCAGAUUUUCCUAAGACCCAAGUGAAUAGGGUGGGCCAAAUUAGGUAGCCUGCCUUGGGGAGCAUGUCAAGCGGAAGCCCUAUGAGCAAACUGGUGCAUGUCUGAAUGAAAGAAAUGAAAAGGAGUCUCCAAGUCGCAAAAGGAGAUCUUGGUGAUUUUUUAAAAUUUAAUUUGCACUAAGGUCAUGAGGAUAGAAACUUAGGAGUAUUAAGCAUCUGAAACCAAAUUUUCAAGUCAGAAUACAUUUAAUGAGUGCUAAGCUCUCCAGUGCUGUGUUUAACUUUCACAUGUACAGUUCCUGUAGGUAACCGGCCUAGCAAAUUGCAAUCAAAUUCAUGAAAAUACAGCAGGCUGCAUUUCUUCCCUCAUUUUACGUCUCUUUGUAAAAGUAAAUAACUGAGCGGUUUUAUUUAGAAACCUGUUUGAAAAUUUAUUCUGGUCUAAUUGUAGGUUUUUUUAUGAUUAUCAUGAGACUUUAAAAGUACUGGUGUCCAUAGUCACUUAUUGAAAUACCUUUGGUAAUUUUAAACAUUAAAGAUGACCACUAACACUAUCAUUUGCCUUUAGUACCAUGACACCUUUUUCCUUUCUCCAUUAUAAUUACUUUAUUUUAUGGUAAGCAGCAAAUCCAAGGAGACCAAUAAGAUUUAUUGUCAUCUGCGAUGAGAUGUAUGUAGAAUUCUAGCCAUGCUAUCAAUCUGAGGAAAGUUUGAAUAAGCCACAAGUAUUGGCUCAUGCAUAUGCAUUAGUCUUGUGCAUUCGUAAUUUAUACACAUCCUAUCUCUUAUGUAAUAUGCAUAGGAGUUUAAAAUCAUUCAGUGCCCUUUAAUUUACAUGAAAAGGCCUGCCCUUUCAUUGAGACCACUAUUGCAAUCAAGAAGGUCAAGUGAAAAGGGUUCUUAAAUUUUAAUUUUGACUCUAUCCUGAAUGUAUAAUGUGCAGAAUAUAUCCUGUACACUUUUGAUGAACAUAUCUGUUUGAAGUCAUUCACCAGAAAAUUUUAUCAUGGUAAUUAGCUUUAAAUAAAUGAAACUAAAUCAAAUGGUAUCAUUAUAAUAUAAAUGCUUAAUUCUAGAGCUAUUGGUAGAUCCUAAGGAAGAGUGUAAAAAAAAAUUCCACAGCUUUGUAGUUCAGGAUAUAGUCACUCUUGUCGAUGGGAAUGCCAGCUGUACUUGUACGUACAGUGAGUUCUAAAAGGGGGAUGUCAUUCGGGCUAUAAGGCUUAGAUCAAGCUGAGAUCAAGCAGGUUAAAACUGAAACCAUGUUCCAAUUUCAGUUUCUCCUCAUAUAUUCUAUUUGGAAGUGUUUAUGUGUCUACGAACAUUCCAUGUUUAAUUUUAUGCCAUGUUGCUUUCCUGGGAUUUAGAAGAUGCUUUGAAACAUGGAGAAAUGUUGAAAGGUUUGAUCAAGAUGCCAAAGCCCUGGGCUCUGCACUGAGGACUCAUGCCAGCUGGCUUUAGCUGUCAAAACACCGACACCCUUACAAUAGCUCUAAAGCUGAGGCAUAACCAGUUUGGAUUGCUCUAUUUGUCAAAGCAAUAUGCUUCAGAAACCUAGAGAAAGGUGAAAUAAAAUAAUAUUUCAGAAGCAGAGGGGUAAACUGACCGUAGGCAUUCACAACUAAAACUGAGGAAGAAGUGCACCUUCCAUUCUGGGGGGAGCAGCUCCGUGUCAGUCCCCCCCCCCACCCCCAAUCUUUCUAAGAAGUUGUCUGUUUAGCUAGUGUCAAUACAUUACUUUAACAUUUCCCCUUUUUGGGCUAACACAAGUAUUUCUAAAAUUUUUCCUGAUUACAUUUAUGUUAACAGACUAAUAACAGAGCCAUCUAGUUUGUUGCAAUAUUUCUCACUGGGGUCAUAAGGGGAUAUUAAUAAAAAGGACUAAAGGCUUGCUAGUAUUAUGUUCAGCAUUAUGAUAUAGCUUUAUCACUAGAAUUUUUUUUAGAAGUUUUUUUUCAUCUUAUACUGUGCAGCAAAAAGUCUUCUUGGCAGGUAGAUACAAGAGUCUUCUAAAUAUCAGUGAUGCUUAGAAGGGGAGGAGGGGCAGGUUUGAAGGUGGGAAAUCCCCCCUGUGGUGAUGUAUCAGAGUAUUUAUUCUUUUAGAAAACCAUUAUUAAAAGGGAGCAUGGGCUACAAACAUCAAGAAAAGUUGGGGAUGUUGCAAAGAGAAUCACAGCUCAAGAGCCUCAAGUGUCUAUUUUGUCUGCAUGGGCUACUUGCUUUACUGCUCUGUGGCUCGUCUCCCCAUAUCUGAUGUGGGGCAUAAAUCUAGCUAUUAACUUAAGCAGAGUGCUGGGGUUGAACACAAUUCAAUUUAAUGAAGCACCAAAAUUUUAGAGGAAAGGGAACCUGUGAAUGAGGGACAUUUCACCACCAGAGUAACUCUGGGUGGUGACACAAAUUAGGCAAUACAAGGGAAGGCAGAGAAUCACCCCACUCUGGGACAAAUUGUCCUAUAUUCUUAGUAAAGUUAAUGAUUAGUCCAUCUUAUGUUUUUCUACAACCCUUCUGGGGUACCUGGCUAAAUGUUGUUGGCGAUAUACUCAAACCUGGUGGUGGCAUCGAAGUGGAAGACAAUGAGGGUGAUAUAGAUUAAGUAUUUCUUCAUAAGAUCUCUGCAGUCCACAUGUGGGGGAUUGAAAAGCCCUCCUCUCUGAGCAACAGACCUGGGUAUCUAAGGAAGUUAUAACAUCUCCCGAGACAUCUCAUCAGUAAGAUAUUUCUUGGAACCUAUAUCUAGCAAUGUGAGUGCUUUGCCAAUUUUCUUUCUGAUUCAUUCCCACUUUCCAAGGUGUAGUAAAAGGGAGCAUUAUCCUUUAAAACAAGGAAUGGGGGUGCCUGGGUGACUCAGUCAGUUAAGUAUCCAACUUUAGCUCAGGUCAUGAUCUCGCGGUUCGUGGGUUUGAGCCCCAUUGUCAGGCUGUGUUGACAGCUCAAGCCUGGAGCCUGCUUCAGAUUCUGUGUCUCCCUCUCUCUCUCUCUGCUCCUCCCCUGCUUGUUCUCUUUUUCUCUCAAAAAUAAAUAAACAUUAAAAAAAUUAAAUCAAGGAAUGCACUUCUGAGGGGUGGUAAAUCACUAAAUUUACCCAUGGAACUUCUUGCACUUGGUGUCUGUCAGUAGGGCCAGAUCAUGGCAAAAAUUAGGCUUUGGUGCAGCAACUAAGGUAACUUCAUGAAGGUAACUUAUGAAAUGGGAUAUGACCAGCCAUGUAAUAAUGCUCUCUUUGGUUCAGAGGUCAUCAGCAGCGGAACAAGAUAGGCUGUGGAAGGGUGGUGUUUUAUUUAUUAUUCCAUAUGUACACUUGGGGCUAUCCUGAGGGACGUGGAAUCCAGUCCCAGACACUGCUUCUGGUCUUGGGAAACUUCUCUUUCUUGUUAGUAUCCCUGGAAGUUCCUAAGAAACUUUGCCAGGAGCUACAACUUGUUGGUAAUUCUAAACUGCCAGCAAAGUCAAUCUUGUGCUUGGAGUGGGUGAUAAAUCUGUAGAAACAGAUUGUUCCAUUGAUUGAUUUGGAGCUAAAAACUGCCACUGAAUUCUGCUCCAUAGAAUAUAUUAUCUAGAAGUGUGCCAGGCAAGGGGUUAUAAGGGACAAAACUGAUGGAAAAUUGCUAUCACAAAACUCAAGGUCUACAAAAGGAGCAGUAUUGCAGCCUUGAAUGUUGCUUCCAUCUACCUCCUUGAGCGCACUUGUGAAUGUUUCAUGCUACUGUGCUCAACACAAAAGAGAGGACAAAUGUCCUGCUUUAACACGGUACUGCUUAAUAGGACACAUAUUUAUGAUUUCAAAAAUGAGAUCACUACACUCACAACACCUAAAAUUUAUUGAGUAGAAAAUGUGUGGAAAUGUGACAAGCCCUGGCUGAGUAAGUGCUUUUAAAAUAUCAUCUCCCUUAAUUCACAUACAACUCAGUGAGUUUGAUAUUGUUCCUCCAUUUAAUUGAUGAGGAAACUCAGGCUCUGUGAGGUUAAAGUCACUAAGCAAAUAAAUUGUAGAGUUGGGAUUUGAACUAGUGCUGUUUCACAGCACUAGAAAAUCCUGUUGAAAUAUUUUAAGCCUUGUAGCAAGACUGAAGAAUGCAGCUAACAGGGACAGAUGAUACAGCUCUUUCUAAACAAAAAUGGUUGUUGCCUUUAAGGAAGGACGUGUUCUAGCUCUGCGACUAGCAAAACAUUAGGUAGUUAGGUAGGGACAUGUACUUUCUAAGGCUCACGCCAGGCUAAUGCCACGCAAAGGGAAAUCAAUGAGGGACCGGAAGUCGGGGCCCCGUGAUUUGUACACAAGUCAGCUGUUGAUCAGAGGCUAGACCCCACCUUAGUCUCCCCAUUGAUCAGACUGUUCUUUUGUCUGUGGCUACAGAGGCACAUCUACUAGGAGGAUCUCAGCUCGGGUUUUGCAGUCUAUUGAUCAAGGUGUUGUGGGGAAGAGAAUGGAAACGUGGUUAAAAUGAAGAUAUGUGAAAGCCAUCACUUCUUCACCAUCUCUCAGGCUUUUCAGGCUCAGACAAAGAAUGGAUCUCCAUGACGGCCUUGUUCUUUUAUUAUUGUCUGUUCUCUCAAAGUGUUUGUAAAUUAAUUUGCUGAUGAUCUUUCCUUAAUGUACUGCCCCUGGGCCGUGUACCUAAUGAAAUCACUUGUGCAGUAAUAGGAUUCCAGAUGUCUGGAGGCAGGGGCAGAACAAUAGGAGGAGCACUUGAGCAAUCGUUUGUAAUUACAUUUGAAACAUUUAUUUUAAAAAUGUGUAUAAAUUGUGCUGCUGGAACCCUAAUGACGGGGGCGGUCAUUCUGUUGCCUGACUUCUCAUGUGUUGCUUCUUGAAGUUUUACACUGUGAAAUGCGUUGGGCUGGACACAGGUAUUUUAUGUGUGAAUAUCCAAGCCAGAGUUAACCCUUUUACCUUUGGAGAUAAAUUUAGGUGCAGCCUAAUUCUGUUUUGUAAUUCAUAUGCUGUUCUCAGACCUCAAAACUGAAAAUGAACACAUAAAAUCAUUUUGAUUUUUUCCUGCGUAUCUCAACUCUCUGGAUUGAGUUUGGCUUUUUAGUUACGGGAGAAUGAUAUAAACAGAUCUACGUGUGCUUGCUGGAUCGUAACAGGCAAAUUUCUUUGGAUAUCUGGAGUAACUUUAAUUCUUCAAAUGGCUAUCUGGAUGUUUCAAAAACAAUUGACAUUUGUUUCACCCCAAAUGUAUGACCAGUGGCAGUAAAUUCAGAAACAUUUUCUUGGAGUCGUCAUAGCACCUGUACCGUAUUUUUUUUUUUCUCACUUGAUCAUUUGAAAUAUUCUUUUGUAGUCUUUUAACUCCCAAAUUACCAUCUAGUAUCUCUGGGAGGAAGGGUGGUAGAAAGAGUCUUAGGGUCAGAGCUAGGAGGCCAGGCUGGCAUUUGUGUUUGUAGGAUAGGUCUGUGCCUGUUGGCACUAAUAAGAGUUCAGAUUUGAUUGAGUGCUUACUAUAUGCUUGGCACAGUGCCAGUCCCUUUCCAUGAAUUAUUUCAACAAUCCUAUGAGCCAGUGAUAUUUCUGUCCCCACUUUACAAAUGAGACUUGUAACAUGUUUAUAUGAUUUUCUCAAGGCCACACAACUAAGAAAAAGCAGACCUGGAAUUCAAACCCACUUCAACCUGACUUCAAAACCCAAACUCAUAGCCACAUAACUGAUUGUAAAUCACAGAACCCUUCUGAGCUACAGUUUCUUCAUCUGUAAACUUUGGAGGCCAAAUCAGGUAGUCAAUAAAUAAAUUUCCAGCUCUGAAUUUUUUGAGUUUCAAUCCAGCCAAGAAAACAGAUGUAGGAACUUAUGUUUGCUAUAUAUUUUAGCCUCAAAGUGGCUAAAAGCAUCCUCCAAAAACAUUUAUGCCAAAAACAUUGCAAAUAGCUAAACAGCCUGCAAGGAGGUAAUUGUCAAACCAAUACCAGCUGUGAAAGCUUUUCAGCAUUUCAACAACCCUUGGGGGUGUUUUUUAAGAGCAAUAAACUAAGUGGCUAAGUGUGUUGCCCAUGGAGCUGAGACACAAAUCUGGACCCCUGAGAAUUUACUGUGUUUUCAGGGUGUAAUACAUUCUGUAUCUGAGGCUCACUUCUCCAACACAUCCAAACUAGAUCUUAAUGAACCUUGGAGACAUUUAGUAUAAUUUUCUGGUCUUGAUCUAUCAAUUAAAAGUACCUUCCCCAGAGCAUCACUUGGUUUAGUUGAUGUUUGGUUUUCCAAAGCUGCCACCGGCCUUGCCUUGUGUCAUUCACUCAAAAGUUUUCAUUUGGUCUUAAAUGCUACAGGUAUUGCAUUCCUUUGGAAAAUAAAAUGAGCAGAUGUUAAAAAGCAAAACAUACAUAGACAAAAUGUUUGCUAUGGUAAAGUCGUUCUUCUUCUUUCCAAGUCUUUCAUCUAUCCUUUCCUACUGUAAUAAUCCUUUGGGCCUUAUUUAUUUAUUUAUUUAUUUAUUUAUUUUAAGUGACCUGUCCAGCUUUAAUGCUAAUAACAGUCAUUGAUACUUCUUAAUGUGAACCCAGAAUUUAUGUUGAACAGUGACCUCAUUCUUCCUUGACUAUUUAGUUAAAAGGCACUCUGGCUUUGUUCAUGAUGCUACAGCAUCGAAGCCAAUGUAGCCAAUGUUGCGAUAGCAAAACCACCACCAACAAAAAUCAAUCAAGCUGAUUGCUUGGCAUUCAGAUGAUAAGGCAAUCAGUUGAUGGGCCGAAUGUUCUGCCUUUCUACUUGCUGUUGUAGUGCAACUGCCAUGCCUGUCCAGUGUUCUCAAAAUGUGGUCCCCACCCCUGCAGGCUCAGGGUCACCUGGAAAUUUGUUAGAAAUGUAAAUUUUCUGCUCCUGGUCCAGAGCUCCUGAAUUAGACAUUGUGGGGGUGGGACCCAGCAAUUUGUGAUUUGAAGAGCCCUUCAGAUGAUUCUGAUGCUCUCCAACACUUGAGAUCCAUUGUAGCGUCAACUAGUUAAACAGUUAAAAAAGAAUUCAGUCACAAUAGCUAAUUGUCAUCACAGAAUAUCCCAAAGCUUCACGUAAUUCUUUGGUUAAAUGCUUUCAAAAUACAUGAAAGAAAACGCAGUCUACUAAAAAGAAACAAAAACCCCCAAACCAAAAAACAGCCCCUGAGAAAACUGGAUUCCUUAAUGCUUUUUGUUUUCAAUACAAUCCAUUUUGUUCUUUUUUCGCCCCAACCUUUUGAAAUCUGUGAAUACUCCAUAUAAAUUGAGUUCUGCUUAUUGAAUUCAGAGACCACGUACAUACAGUGGCAACUGUUGUUUUUGCUUCAGUUGUGAAAGAUCAUCGCACAUUUGUCUCCUUUUAGGUCAGACACACCAGUGUUUAAAAUUCUUACUGCCCUUACAGAUCAUGCCCAUUCUAAUUGAAGACUCUUGGGUUUACAAUUCACACUGGUAUCAAUGAACAUUUGGAAUGCUUUAGGUGUGAUUUUUGUAGCUUUACCUACUGGUUUAGGAAAACCAUCCAGCAGCUACCAAAGUUGCAGGAAGUGUUAAAUAGAUGUCACUAAAUUGGAAGAAAAGUUAGAAGCAGCAGGUUCUUGAAGUACACAUUCUUAAUAUAUAAGAUUUUUUUAAAUUUAAAAUGUCAGAGGUAAAACAUCAAAAGUCUUAAUGGUAAAUUUAUUUAACCAACACAUUAAUAAAUUACUCAUUUUGUGAGUCAAAUGGUUUCAAUACCUAGCAGUAUUUGAAGGUAUGGAUUAAAAGUAAAAUAGAUGAUGUAUAAAUAUGAGCAUUUAUUUUGGUUCUGCCCCCUGAGGUUGAAUGAGCAUGUACUCACCAGGACUCAAUUUGUAUUCUAAAUUCAUUCAGUGUUUUCACUAGGAAGCUACUUGUCCUUUGCUUCUAAAGUUGAACUUGCCUCUUUUGUGUGAUAUGAGCACCACCUACAGUACAUAGUAGGAACUCCCUUCAAACCAAAUGCUUUCUGAAAAUCCACUUCCAGAACACUACUGUCCUUCCUUAAAUAAGGCAGAAUCCUCAAUUUUUUUAAUGUUUAUUUAUUUUUUAUUAUUUUUGAGAGAGAGAGAGAGAGAGAGAGAGAGCUAGAGAAGGGGAGGGGCAGAGACAGGGGAGACACAGAAUCUGAAGCAGGCUCCAGGCUUUGAGCUGUCAGCAUAGGGCCUGACAUGGGGCUCAAACCCACCAACCAUGAAUAGUAUUUUAAAGGAGAGAACAAAGUUUUCACGUUCAGAUAUUAUACCAAGCUCAAGUUUGCUAGUCAAGAUGCUAUUUAAACCUCUCGUUUCCAUGUGAUUAACCUCUGUGUUAUCAUAGGGUUUGUCUAUAGACACACAUAUCAUAGGGUUUGUCUAUAGACACACAUGAUUGCUUCUUUAAAGCGUAAUUGGGUUACCAACCAUUUUACACCAAUUGGAUUAACCUACGUUAACCUAGCAACAUUAAAUUCCCUUUGUAAAUUAGGGAGUUUAACUAAAAGAAUGAUGAAAAAUGACUUCCCUCUUUCCAUUGAUUUUGUGAAUCAACUUCAAAUUGGGGAAUAUUUUGACAUUAAAUGGCAUGAAAUUAAAUAGAGUAUUGGUAAGUAUUCAUUUUUGAGGACCAACAUAAGGAAAUACAUAUAAUUCAUCAACGCGGAACAUCUAUUUUGGGUCUGAGUAGUGGCUAUUACCUACAAACAGGCUUUUUGGUCACAAGAGAAUUGCUACGGAUGACUUUUAACACAUUGCUUAGCAAAUUCUUCAUUUACUAAGAAUUUUCUUUUCCAGGGUCAACCAACAGUUUCUUCUUAUAAGUAGAAUGUAUAAAAUGCUGUUUUGCACAAUAAAAUCUGACUUUUCUCUCAUUAUCUUAUUUUGUUUAGCUUAUCCAACAAAAGUAUUAACAUAUACAUUAACAACGUCGAAAGUAGCCUACUUUAAGAGAAAAUAUGCAGAAGAAGAAGAUUUACAUCAAGAUUACCAUGGGUAUUUUCCAAAAGUAAGGGUUUGCUUAUCAUUAUUUGUUCCUUUUUAUGAGUCUUGUCAAUAGCAAAAAGCUCUAGUUUUCUUUUUUUCUAAAAAUAGAUAAUGAUGUAUUUGCUUUCCAGCACCUGAUAUUGCCUGAGGACAGGACUUGCAUUCUCAAACUUUCUCUGGAGAAGCUCAGGUUUCUUGAAGACCCAGAAACCUACUUAAGAAGGUCUGUGUUAAUUAACAAUUUGCUGAGGAAGAUACAUCUAGAGACGGAGAAAGAGAGCUAUGAAUACUUUAAAGAAGCUCCCUGUUAUAAGACUGCUUAUUCUGAUACAAGAAAACGGCUGAAGUUCAUGGUACAGGAAUGCUGUUCUCAGUCUCUUUAUUAUGAAGAGCUGCAUUCAUAUCAUAUUGUGCCUUAUGCUUCGGAGAAUGCCAUUUAUGGGAUGGGCUACACUAGCAGCCACUUGGAGCAAAAUUCUCAGUUGCUUAUUUAUAAAAUGAAUUAAAGUAACUGUUAAGUUCAUUGAUACUUUGUUUCUAAAUGCCUGACCUGUUUUAGUGAAGAUAUUGAAAAAAGGCACUAAUUACCAGUGCACUUGAGAUCAAAGAUGGCAUGCACGCUGAACUGAGUGGAAAGAACCCUGGUUAUUACUCGGCAGUCCUUAGUAUCGUCCAAAUUGAAGCUAUGUCCACAUAUUAUAAAGCAGCAAAUAAGUGCUGUAAAGGCAAAGAUUUUUAUGUUUUUUUUUCUUAAAGAUAAGAUGAUGUGUACAAAGGGACCUAUGUCAAGGUCUCAUGUGAAUUUAAACUUUUAAGCCCCCGUUUCCAAAUUCUGCCAUUCCUAGUGGAAAGUGACAAAAUGUGACCCUGAACUGACAAUGCAGGAUCCCUGAAUAUUAAGGGUGGAAUGAAUUUACUUUUCCGUAAAUGAUGAGGGGAAGAUAGGCUCUUUCUGAAAAGUUUUGGCUUGUCAAGCAUUGUGCCAAAUAAUUGUUUGACACCAUUCUCCUUCUAUGGUUUGUGGCAAUUUAAGAUGAGGCAAACAUAUUGCAACUUAACUGCUGAAUGUAACAACCAGAUUACUCCAAACUGAUCCAUUUUUUUUGUUUUGUUUUAUACUUUUGGCUUGAUAGACAUUUAUCUUUUAAAGUAAAAUUUAUUAAAAUGAGCCUUGCAGAUGGGCUUAUCUCUGAGUUCUAGAGGUCAUUUAAAAUUUGUGGUUGGUCUUAAGGGUUUAAAUUUAAUUUAUGAUGUCAUUUUUAUAGGCUGUGAAGCUCAGGAAAAGGGUAGGCAGGUCAAUUUGUUUUAAUAGCUUGACAAUUAAAAAAAUCUUAUCUGCAAAAAUUAGUGAAAACCACAGAAAUUCUACAUGAUGUUAUUUCUUCAUCGAAGAGUACUUUUAAGGCUGCCUGGACGAAACUUGCACUGAUUUUUGUAUAAUAGUUGACCAUUCACUAUUUGACAAAAUGUAUCAGAAUGCUUUUGGUGGUGAAGUUUAGAUAAGUCCCUAUAUUUUGCAAUUUGAAAGAUAAUUAUUUAACAAGUUGGAUAGUUUCCUGAAAUUAUUUGAAGUGGUUCAUAACGUUCUUUGAGGUUUGAGUGAGAUGUCUGAUUUCAGUGUCCAGAGUCAUGUCCUAUGGAGCAUAUCAUUCAAAGAACUGUCAUUAACUGAUAAAACAGAUUGGGAAAACUAGGUGCCAAAGGUAUAUUCAAGAAAAUACCAAAGACCCAAAGAUGAGUGUUAGAGAGACUA
This 12171-nucleotide long non-coding RNA is filed under the name Lynx pardinus (Iberian lynx). The record is from RNAcentral. Lineage: Eukaryota; Metazoa; Chordata; Mammalia; Carnivora; Felidae.